GGGGGGGGGGGGGGGGGGGGGGGGGGGGGGGGGGGGGGGGGGGGGGGCGGGGGGGGGCCUGGCGGCGGGGGGCGGACGGGGGGGUAAUGCAUCGGGACGGGCCCAGGAGUGGGGGAUAGCCCGGCGAAAGCCGGAUUAAUACAGCAUACGACCUGAGGGUGAAAGCGGGGGACCGGAAGGCCUCGCGCUAUUGGAGCGGCCGAUGUCGGAUUAGCUAGUUGGUGGGGUAAAGGCUUACCAAGGCGACGAUCCGUAGCUGGUCUGAGAGGACGACCAGCCACACUGGGACUGAGACACGGCCCAGACUCCUACGGGAGGCAGCAGUGGGGAAUUUUGGACAAUGGGGGCAACCCUGAUCCAGCCAUGCCGCGUGCGGGAAGAAGGCCUUCGGGUUGUAAACCGCUUUUGUUCGGGAAGAAAUCCUCUGGGCUAAUACCCCGGGGGGAUGACGGUACCGGAAGAAUAAGCACCGGCUAACUACGUG
RNAcentral lists this ribosomal RNA (484 nucleotides) under uncultured bacterium. Its description in RNAcentral is "partial 16S ribosomal RNA". The stretch from base 59 to 484 matches the Rfam family "Bacterial small subunit ribosomal RNA", at positions 36 to 507 of the family's 1533-position model. The record is from RNAcentral.